Molecule: small nuclear RNA, 157 nt
Filed under: Echinops telfairi (small Madagascar hedgehog)
Lineage: Eukaryota; Metazoa; Chordata; Mammalia; Afrosoricida; Tenrecidae
Description: U1 spliceosomal RNA (ENSETEG00000021886.1)
Rfam family: U1 spliceosomal RNA
About the family: U1 is a small nuclear RNA (snRNA) component of the spliceosome (involved in pre-mRNA splicing). Its 5' end forms complementary base pairs with the 5' splice junction, thus defining the 5' donor site of an intron. There are significant differences in sequence and secondary structure between metazoan and yeast U1 snRNAs, the latter being much longer (568 nucleotides as compared to 164 nucleotides in human).
Source: RNAcentral
AUACUUACCUGGCAGGGGAGAUACCAUGAUCAUGAAGGUGGUUUUCCCAGAGUGAGGCUCACCUAUUGCACUCCAGGUGUGCUGACCCCUGCAAUUUCCCCAAAUGUGGGAAACUUGACUUUGUGGUAGUCGGGGACUGCGUUCGCGCUAUCCCGUU